GACGAACCGUGCGAACGUUGUUCGGAAUCACUGGGCUUAAAGGGCGCGUAGGCGGGUGCGUAAGUCCGGGGUGAAAGCCCCCGGCUCAACCGGGGAAUAGCUUCGGAUACUGCGCAUCUGGAGGGGGGUAGGGGCAGACGGAACUUCCGGUGGAGCGGUGAAAUGCGUUGAUAUCGGAAGGAACGCCGGUGGCGAAAGCGGUCUGCUGGAUCCUUUCUGACGCUGAGGCGCGAAAGCCAGGGGAGCGAACGGG
This 253-nucleotide ribosomal RNA is filed under the name uncultured prokaryote. RNAcentral describes it as "partial 16S ribosomal RNA". It matches the Rfam family "Bacterial small subunit ribosomal RNA", at positions 524 to 776 of the family's 1533-position model. The record is from RNAcentral.